This 271-nucleotide ribosomal RNA is filed under the name uncultured prokaryote. Its description in RNAcentral is "partial 16S ribosomal RNA". It matches the Rfam family "Bacterial small subunit ribosomal RNA", at positions 524 to 794 of the family's 1533-position model. The record is from RNAcentral.
UACGUAGGUGGCAAGCGUUGUCCGGAUUUAUUGGGUUUAAAGGGUGCGCAGGCGGGGGAUUAAGUCGGCGGUGAAAUUUUGCAGCUCAACUGUAAAAGUGCCUUCGAAACUGGUUUCCUUGAGUGUAGAUGAAGUAGGCGGAAUUUGUGGUGUAGCGGUGAAAUGCAUAGAUAUCACGAGGAACUCCGAUUGCGCAGGCAGCUUACUAAACUACUACUGACGCUCAGGCACGAAGGCGUGGGGAUCAAACAGGAUUAGAUACCCUGGUAGU